AUGGCUCAGCAGGGGCAGGUUUUGGGACACGCCUCGGCUCUUGUGCCUAUAGUCUGCAGACAAGGAGGAACCGUGGAAGCCCCGCCCCUCACGCCCCUCCGAAAUCUGUGCAGGGCUCCUGCUGGUGGAGGAAUCCCCGUCCAUUCGGUGUGCAGAAAGAAAGAAAGCCAAGCGUGCAACGUUCCACUAGUUUUAAUGAGGAAAAUUCCACACGGGAGAGAGAGAGAGAGAGAGGCGAGGAGGGGGGGGGGGGGGGGGGGGGGGGGGGGGGCGGUCCCCAGAGGAGCAGGAGUAGGGAGAGCUGCCCCUGGGCUCCUGGGUGUGGAAUGGGGCUCCAGGCUCAUGCUGGAUUUCUCUCCAGCAGGUUUGAAACGCGAGUCUUUACUUGUUCAAGAGCAUCCCGGGCGCGUUCAAUGCCAGCCUCUGCCAGUUCCCUGGAGAGAGUUACGGUGGGGUGAGAAGGGGAGGAAAGCGAGUUCAGGGAACAGAAUCCCCCGCCCCCCGCGAGAGGCCCUGUUGGGCUGGAUGCGUCUCGGCAGCUGCCAGGAUUCAGGGGCCAGAAACAGAAUUUACACGGUCAGCCAGCCGAUUGUCCUUGCUGGCCAAAGCAAGGCUUUGUACCAAACGAGCGUCCGGUCAGUCUUGACCAAUUGGGGGGCCGCCUGGAAGUGCGGGGACAGGCGCCCGGGUUCUCUGGAAGCCGCGCAGGCAACGCGAUCCAGCUCUGCCCUCCGGGGAGUUCACGCCCAGCCCCUCUGGAGGAACCAUCGCUCACAGGAGGAGCAGCCCCCGAGGGCCGUGCAGCGCCUGCGUUCUCCUGUUCACCCCCAAAAUGCCAGAGACCCCCCCAGACCCACCUCACUUGCUGGUAAACGGGCGAUGCUUGGACAGCGGCGAUGCGCUCUUGCGCCUUCUGGACGAGGCCCUGGAAACGGGUCCUCAGCGUCUCCUGGCCUUCCUCCGCGCCUGGGGACCAAGGGGCGGAAGCCUGAGGAUCUCUCCAGGGAGGGGCAAGGCAAGAGCCCGGCAAGAGCAAGGCGCCUCCCCCGCUCUCGGAGCACCCGGGGGCCCCACUGCCGGGGCCCCAGCUCGGCUCCCUUGCCGGGGCCCCCUCUUACGUGCAUCGGUGGCCAGCAGCGCCAGCAGCGCCAGCAGCAGCAGAAGCGGGACUCUCAUCUUCCUUCGGGGGUCCUGUGCCGGGAAAAGGGGCCGUCACUGGCCUGGAAGGGGCUGCUGUUACUGGGGGCGGCUCUUGGGCCCUGGGCUCCUCUAGGGCGGGGACCUUUCCAGAGAACGGGCAAGAAGGGGAAGGGAGCCAGGCGGGGCCAGGGCUGCUCAGCGAGGGGCACAGCUGGCGGGAGGGGCGCCGGGCUUGGUGGCGCCCUUCAGGGCUUAGCCAGGCGGGGGUCCCAGCGCCCUCCCGCCUCCCCUCAGUCGGAAAGCCUUAUGCGGAGGCUCCUCGCCCACCUUUUCUCCAGGAGCUGA
This 1485-nucleotide long non-coding RNA is filed under the name Notechis scutatus (mainland tiger snake). RNAcentral's name for it is "lncRNA (ENSNSUG00000004231.1)". Lineage: Eukaryota; Metazoa; Chordata; Lepidosauria; Squamata; Elapidae. The record is from RNAcentral.